Small nuclear RNA from Oryctolagus cuniculus (rabbit), 110 nucleotides. The record is from Ensembl. NCBI's taxonomy places the organism in Eukaryota, Metazoa, Chordata, Mammalia, Lagomorpha, Leporidae.
GUGGGGCUUAUGUUGGCCCCAUGUAUUCUGAUAUUCGAAUGACACAGGGUAAAUGAGUAUGGUCCCUGUGCAAGGACGACACACAGACUUGUGAAGCCUUCCAUCUGUUU